Molecule: non-coding RNA, 2154 nt
Organism: Camellia sinensis
Lineage: Eukaryota; Viridiplantae; Streptophyta; Magnoliopsida; Ericales; Theaceae
Source: RefSeq, a predicted model, not a curated record
ACUCUUCCCCCGUCUUCCCCUCUCCCCCUCUCACCACUCACUUAGCAAUAGCUAGGGUUUUAUUAUCUUUCUCUCCAUUGUAUUAGAAGCCCUAGCUUUGAAACUCCCAUCCCCAACAACAACAAUCACCAUCAGUGUUGGAUUUGCCAUCACCGAUUCGCCGUUGCCCGUCGCGCAGCACCUCCUUCUGUCGCAGAACCACCACCUUAGUGCCGACGAUGGCAGAUCUUGAAGGAUGACCAAACCCUAGAGAGCUACGGGUAAUUCAAUCGAUUCUCACCGUACUCAUUUUUUGUAUAUGUGAAUGUAGAUAUAGCUUUCAUAUGAUACUUUCCAACCAUCAAUGCCGGCUCUAAAAAUCAACAUCUUUAGUGGGUUUUAUUGAGUUUUGUCUCAUACGAACUUGACAAGUAAAGCAGAGCUUGAAGCAAGAAUCAAUGGAAUGGGUCAUAUGGCCACCCAAGGUUGCUUGAUCUGAGAAGGUGAUUUGAUCGGAACCGAAUUGGUCCUCAAAAUUGUUCCGAACUAGAGGAAGUUAAUAGCGUCAACUUUGUAAUCUAAUCCAAUUUAUAUAGAGGUUGACAAAUUCGGUGAGGAAUUAGUAAAGCAUUCUGAGAAGUCAUUGCCCUUAUUAUUGGUCACUAUUAAUGGUUUAUUUUCAAAAUUGGAGGCGUCAAUUGGCCAUUUUCAUACAGUGUGUCAGGUCACUUCUCUCACUAAAGACCUACUUUGUUUUCCUCUAGCUUUCCCUGUUAGAGAUGCUAUCAACUUAAUUUAUGAAAAUCUACACAAGCUGGAUUCUUACUUAAAUGUCAUUGUAAGAGUCUGAACAUUCUUACUCAUGCUUUCUGAUUUUUCUUCAAAGUUUGUGGUUGUGUUUUAUUAGUAAGAAUUGUUUGUGGUUGUGUCAUUGUAAGACUUUGGAAGGACUUAUUAGCCAAGAAAAGUUUGAAAAAUCUCGAGCCUGUAGUCUUGAUAAAAGGUUUUGUUGUUUUUUAUCUGGUCACAAGUUUCCUCAUUUAUAUUUUUUUACCUGUGCUACUCACUAAUAUAGCUAUUUUGGUUGUGCUCUGAUUUGCCUUUCUUAACUUUCAGCCACUUCCAUUUUGUUCAUGAGUUCGUAACUAUACUGAUGGACUCUGCAAUUUUGUUUUUUGGGGGUAUUGCCUUGGUUGUGGAAGACAUCAGGAGACUUCCUUGUGUACAUGGGUCUCAACGCAAAGAAUGAAAUAGUGCACACCCUUGCAUUUUUGGCCGGUGUUAUGUUUUGGUCACAGGUGCACAUAUUAACCUUCUUUUUUAUCUAAAUAUAAUGAAUGUCUGGUUUACUUGUUAUGAUGUGCCAUAUUCUGCUUUAAAAGUGAAUUUCUUCAAAUUAUGUCUUUAGAAUCAUGUUAACUAUAUUUAAGCAGCCAAGAAGCUUUAGUUAGAACUUAGAUGUGUAUAAUAAGUUAGCAAAAGUUGCAACACUUUUGUUACAAGAUUAAUAUCUAAACAGUUGGAGACGUUAGAUCUAGAGAAGGCAUCUCGUUCGCAUAUCCCACUUCCUUAGCUGGAAAGGAACAGUCUAACACAUAGUCCUAAAAAACACACACAUUAUGAGUACCUGGAAAAGUGCAACCUCCAUGUACUACCCAACUUUUGCUUGGUUUCUUUUUAUUUGGUUUUGAUUUGUGACACCAGCAACACAUCAAUGACCCUUUGCAAUUUUCUGCUAAUGAAGACUAUUUAUCGUUGAAACUAUUCCUUCAAAUUUACGGCUUGUAUGUUUGUGGCGGUAAAACCAAUCCAUCUUAUAGGUGGGACUUUUCCUAAUUACUCAUUUUCAAUCUCAACUUCCCAAUUAAUCAUUUUACGUCCAGCCACAGACAGUUUCAUGAAUGAAGAAAUGAAUACUUUGUCUUUGAAUAAAUGGUCCCUUGAUUCUAGUUGCUAGAUUAAGGAAUUACAUGUUUGGUUCUUUUUAUUUUAAAGAAUCUAUAUAAGAUGUUGUACAAAUAUUUCUUGUUUAAAUUAUUGAUUGAGAUGUCAAUUUCUUUAAAUCAUCUUCAAAUCUAAUUAAGGCAGGUCAAAAUUUUCUUCAACUUUCUUUUUAAAUUUCAUCAAAACACUAAUAGUCUAAUAUAAGAUGUUGUACAUAUAUUUGCUGGUAGU